Molecule: long non-coding RNA, 1402 nt
Organism: Pseudophryne corroboree (corroboree frog)
Lineage: Eukaryota; Metazoa; Chordata; Amphibia; Anura; Myobatrachidae
Exons: 3
Source: RefSeq, a predicted model, not a curated record
CUGUCAGGUGGUGGGACCGCUGUAUGUUUACGUGCACAUUCUCUUUCACAGCGCGUCACCAGGGGAGCGCCUAAGCGUCCGGUUACCAUGGUAACGGCGGACGCCCCCCGAUGACGACAGCGGAAGUCGCCGGGCUCCGAGGUCGGACGGCGUCUCACCGAUGAGCACACGUGGGGUCUCUUCUUAUGGUAUAAAGAUAAUAGUGGUAAUAUUUAGACUUACCAAGGCAGACACCAAGAAGCAGGACAGCUAAUGUGAUCUUCAUGACUGAGAUUGUUGGUUACAGGGUUUCUAAGAUGAAUAUCGAACCAAGUAUCUGAAGAUGACCACUUCAUACACCCAUUUUAUACUCUCCCAGUGUUUGCGUAUAGUGAUGGCUCCUCCUGCUUUUAGAGAUUUUCUAUAUGCAAAAAGCAUAUCUGCCAGAAGAGAAUGAACACACAUCCUGGAAGAGAAAGUAUAGAUAGCAGAGCAAACUAUUGCCAUCCUGUUUUAUUUAUUUUAAAAGGUUUGUUUCACUUAUAAUCCAAUGUCUGCUUGUUGCUGAGUGACUGUAAUGGUUUUUUCGUUUGUUUCUAUAAUAUAUUACAUAUAUAAAUGUCACAUGCUCCAUUGACUGUGAAUAACAGAAAAUAAUCCAGUGUAAAAUAAAGUACAAAAUGUUCUGCGAAGAUAGAGAAUUAAACUGUGCAACUCGAGGGAAUAGCCAUUUUUCUAAGAAAUUAUUAGAGGAAUUCAGUUCCUUAGCAUGUACUAGUUUCCUUUUCAUUUUAAAACCCAUAGAUAUUAAUAAAAUAAAGGGUACAAAUGAAUAAUGUUUGGCAACUAGAGUUAAUGUUGAUAAUCGUAUUGCAAGACUAGGAAAAUAGUCUAGGGAAAAAGGUGACCCAACCUUUUUCAACCCUGUUGAAAAAAGGUUAAAAUAACAGUAUGGCCUACAAUAUAAAUUCAUUGAAAUUAAUUGAAUGCAUUACUAUAUAAAUCCAAAUAUUUAACACACUCAACAAAAUGCAUUUGUGGUUAGGUUUAUGUGGGUGAAACCUCAAAAGAACAUUAUCCAAAAACAUUGGAUGGUGUCUAUAUAAAAGGGAUAGAACAUGCACCUUAAGUUAAACACUUUGAGGCCAGGCUAAUGAAAGUCACAUAAAGUAUAUUUUCAGGCAGCUAUUUCAAUGUGGACUGAGAUUAGAUACUCACUCCAAGGAGUACUGUAGUGUAUCUACAAAGAGAAAACCAGGAAUGCUGCAUAUUAUUAUUUACAUUCAGAGAUACCCAGAAAUCUAGCAGUGUACUGUAUAUUGGAGUAUUUUAGAGUAUAUAAAUAUGAUGACACACUGCCCUUUACUUUGGGGCUGCUCCCCUUCUUUAACUUUCAUGUAAAUCUUGGAUUUAUACAGAUGUA